GAUGAACGCUGGCGGCGUGCCUAACACAUGCAAGUCGAACGGAGUCCCGCCUUAGAGACCUUCGGGUCAAAGAGGGGAAGACUGAGUGGCGGACGGGUGAGUAACACGUGGGCAACCUGGCUCAUAGAGGGGGAUAACAGAGAGAAAUUUCUGCUAAUACCGCAUAAGCACACACUGCCGCAUGGCAGAGUGUGAAAAGAGAAUCGCUAUGAGAUGGACCCGCGUCUGAUUAGCCAGUUGGCAGGGUAAGAGCCUACCAAAGCGACGAUCAGUAGCCGAUUUGAGAGGAUGAACGGCCACAUUGGGACUGAGACACGGCCCAAACUCCUACGGGAGGCAGCAGUGGGGGAUAUUGCACAAUGGGGGGAACCCUGAUGCAGCGACGCCGCGUGAGUGAAGAAGUAUUUCGGUAUGUAAAGCUCUAUCAGCAGGGAAGAUAAUGACAGUACCUGAAGAAGAAGCCCCGGCUAACUACGUG
RNAcentral lists this ribosomal RNA (478 nucleotides) under uncultured bacterium. RNAcentral's name for it is "partial 16S ribosomal RNA". It matches the Rfam family "Bacterial small subunit ribosomal RNA", at positions 28 to 507 of the family's 1533-position model. The record is from RNAcentral.